GGGGGGAGCGCAGGAUCCUGGGCUAUGUCCCCCGACGCCCUGGGAUCCGGGGCCCGUGCCGCUGGAAUCACGCUCCCAGGGCGCGUAGCCCCCU
This 94-nucleotide microRNA precursor is filed under the name Canis lupus familiaris (dog). Its description in RNAcentral is "mir-8799 microRNA precursor family". It matches the Rfam family "mir-8799 microRNA precursor family". Lineage: Eukaryota; Metazoa; Chordata; Mammalia; Carnivora; Canidae. RNAcentral also lists the same sequence under 1 other name. The record is from Rfam by way of RNAcentral.